Molecule: long non-coding RNA, 2524 nt
Organism: Brassica napus (rape)
Lineage: Eukaryota; Viridiplantae; Streptophyta; Magnoliopsida; Brassicales; Brassicaceae
Exons: 2
Source: RefSeq, a predicted model, not a curated record
AAUUGUAUGCAUGAUAUUAUAGAGCCCAACACUUAUAAACAAACCAUUAGGCUCUCGCUUUCUAGGUUUGUCUAUUGACCAGUGUCGAUCGAUGAUUCUAUAGGAAUAUUGAUCGACGCGUUUGGUCAAGCUUUAACACGCCGGUUGAAUGUGCUCACUAAGCUUCCUAGAUCAGUUCCCGCCUUAUUCUAGCAAUCUUAGCUCAGUUAGGAUGGAUUCCGGGUGAGGUGAAAGCUAUCACUUGUGUCUACAACUCCUAGGGCAAGUUCUAUGAGCUAAUCUAGAAACAAGCAUUAAUGACAAUUCUAAUGAUGAAUAUUACAACUUAGCAAUCUAUAGUUGGGGCUAAUCCCUAAACCCUAAACCUAUCAAGAGAACUACUCAGACAUUGCUAAGAAAUUCAUAACAUCAAUUAGGUAUAAAAACUGCAUAGAUAAAUAGAUAGAUAUCAAUGGAGUUCCAAUCACAAAUCUCUUUGGAUCUUCUCUCCAAUCUACUAAAAAUCCUAGAAAACCUUUUGUUGUGAAAAUAGUAAAACAAAAAAGCACAGUUUGCCUUUAACAUGUUGGCAAAGCUUAUAUAGUUAGGUUAAAACUCAUCAUGGGUAAUCUUGUAAAUUGGUGAAGACUUGGGCUCUAUGUCGGCUGGGACCAAACGGACUUUCUGCGCGCUUCGCUGUUGAUCGAUGUCAAGAUGUGAACAUCGAUCGAUUCUUCUUCUUCAAUAUCGACCGAUGAUCGUACUCGAUGGUCAGCUCGAAUGCUUUCUCCAAAUGUCUCCCAAAUGCUCCAAAAUCAUUACUUUCUUACAAAUGUCUCCAAAAUGCUCUAAGAUCAUUACAAUCUUCCAAAUCACUCCUUGUCGUAUAAAUAUACUAAAUAUACUCUAGAAUAUAAUAAAUAGUUAUUAAAACACCUAUGAACCAUGGAUAAAAGUAGGUCAAAUCCGUGGUCUAUCAUACCCUACAACAAAACUUUGCCACAAAGCACAUCCUCAUAAAUUUCCGCAGGUAUCUCAAAGUUCACCACACCAUCGACAAUCUCAAACUCCGGACCGAUUGUAUCCCCCAACCCCACAUUCACUACUUUUGCAUACGAACUUUUCUCCAUGACAGAAAUUUUCGUGAUUACCUGAUGUGUAACUCCUUCCCUAAUCACCAGCUCUUCUUUUCCAUCGACAAUCCGAUAUUGUGAAAAGCUAACCGGCAGAUACACCACAUUUACCAACCCGACAUACUCCCCAUCAAUCCCAGUGCGAGCAUCCCCACUCUCAAUCCGAAUCCCCUCCACAGAUCCCUCUGUAACUUUGAUCCCCCGACCUUCUGACUCCCCCCCAACCUGACACCAGACCCCUUCCUCCAACCUCUGAUCCCUCUCUCCCAUUGUCACCGUUUGAAUCGAACGGCGGCUCGGUCGCCAUUAUCGCCUUUCUUGUCGUCUUAGGGUUUCUUUCCUUAUUUACUAUAAAGACUAUUCUAUUACUCAAACUAUAGGUGGUUUACAUUUUAAAAUUUCUAAUAGAGAUAACAAUACGUAUAAAUAAAAAGCUAAUCUCUGAUUUUCUAAUCACACACAUAGCGCAGUUCCAAACAUGAACAGUUACGAAUGUAUUACUUCAAAAAUAUAAUUAAAUAACUAAGUAAAUGACUAAAAAUAAUUAUUUGAAAAUAUAUUUGAAAAUUUAGUUGAUAGAUCUUUGGAAGAUUUUUAGAUCGUAUAUGCUGAAAUUUUGUUGAAAACAUAUAUUUUCAGUAUAAACGGAUAUAAAAUCAUUAAAUUGCAGUAAGCCAUAAAAUUAUCUAAAUUUUAUAUUCUGUUUAUAAAAAUAGUUAUAAAAAUCCAUUUAUGUGGUAAAGAAUGAAACACUUUGAUCCUUGCUGUGAUUGAGAUACUCAUUGUUGUGGUCGUGGAGCUCUUCCCUAAAUAAAAAUAAAUAAAAAUGUAUGACCCAAACAAAAUUGAAAUGUAGCAAAUAAAUUGAAAAUUUCAACGACAUACAAAACCUAUUUUUUGGUCAUCCUCUUGGUUUCUUUGAAUGUCUCUCCGCUUAGAUUUUUACAACCUUACUUAUUGUGUGCAUCUUCGUUGCAGUUUAAGCAUGUCAUCGCUUUCAUCUGGAGUGUCAACUGGAUGUUACUUGAUCCAUAUUUAUUUUUUCUUUUUUUCUUUUCUGGCAUAAUUACUUGGUCGUCUCAGAUUGCGUUUUCUUCAUGGUGGUAGCAAGACAACUAGCAUAUUUACUCUAGGCCAAAACUUCAUCACUUCAGGAACGGAAGGGAUUUCUACCAUCCACCACUUCCUGCAACCACAAGUCUUCUCAUUCAUGUCAACCACAAUUAACAUUAUUGAGCUCUACCUCAUGCAAAUUAUUUAUGGCCAUGUAGUGGAUGUUAGAGAUAUGAGAAUCAUUUGUAUAUAUUAUCUCUUCCUUUGUUUUAGGAAACUAAUAACUGUAUCUCUUGUAUAUAAACUCUCGUGUAUCAUUCUCAUUAUUCAAUAUACUAAGAUACAAUCUUUACAUGGUA